UUAGAAUAGAAUUUAAGGUCUAAUCUGCCCACUGAUUUAUUAAAUGGCCGCAGUAAUUUGACUGUGCAAAGGUAGCAUAAUAAUUAGUUUUUUAAUUAAAAGCUUGUAUGAAUGAUUGGACGAGAUAAAUACUGUCUCUAAAUAAUAGAUAGAAUUUAAUUUUUAAGUUAAAAAGCUUAAAUAAUAAUAAAAGACGAGAAGACCCUAUAGAUCUUUAUAAUAUUUUUUAUAUAUUUAAUUAAGAUUAUUUUAUUAUUUAUAAUAAAUAUUAUUGUAUUGGGGUAAUAGAAAGAUUAAAUAAAUUCUUUAUUAUAAAUAAAUAUAAAUUAAUAAAUUAAUGAUCCUUUAUUAAAGAUUAUAAGAUUAAGUUACCUUAGGGAUAACAGCGUAAUUUUUUUGAAGAGUUCUUAUCGAUAAAAAAGUUUGCGACCUCGAUGUUGGAUUAAAAAUUAUUCUAGGUGUAGUAGUUUAGAAUUUUGGUCUGUUCGACCAUUAAAUUUUUACAUGAUCUGAGUUUAGACCGGUGUAAGCCAGGUCGGUUUCUAUCUUUAUUAAACUAAUAUAUUUUAGUACGAAAGGACCAAAUAUAAAAUAUAUUAAUAUUUAAAUUUUUGAAUUAUAU
Molecule: ribosomal RNA, 622 nt
Filed under: Paroster napperbyensis
Lineage: Eukaryota; Metazoa; Arthropoda; Insecta; Coleoptera; Dytiscidae
Description: partial 16S ribosomal RNA
Rfam family: Bacterial large subunit ribosomal RNA (bases 379-537)
Source: RNAcentral